Non-coding RNA from Xyrichtys novacula (pearly razorfish), 804 nucleotides. NCBI's taxonomy places the organism in Eukaryota, Metazoa, Chordata, Actinopteri, Labriformes, Labridae. The record is from the annotation of a GenBank genome assembly.
GGCUGAGAUAUUGCAAUUAACUCUAAGCUUCAGCGCAGAGGCGACCCCAGACUUUCAGAGGCCUCAGAUUAAGAUCAGAGUAAGGCACCUUGUUUAUGCUUUCCAUGUAAAGUUGCCAUACUCAAAAUGAAUAUUACAAGCAAUGUUUUCAUAAAUUAAACCACUGCAUUAAAAUGUAAAUGCUUCAUCUGAUAUACUUCUGCAUAUUUAUGAUUGUGUGGAGAAAAAUGUAGUACCUUUAGAUAAACAAAUGAGUCAAACUAAAAAGCACAAAUCAACCAGUGAAUCAAUCAUUUAUCAUUUAAAUACUCAAAACAAGUCCCCUCUGUACACCCUCUUUGGGCAGACAUCUCGAUGAAGUCCCAGCAUUGACUAAAUAGAAUUAAAGCAUAAUUGGAGACAAACACAACACAGCACAGAAGGGGACAUGAGAGUCUUGCUGAUGUUGUCUUGUGUUUUUUUGGUGCCAGAUUUAAAAGUGAUGCUUCGAAACUUCAGUUUUAAGACAUUACUGUCACUAACUGGAAUAUUUUUGUGUGAUAUCUGUUAUUGAUGUUAUCUGUCUGCAGAUUCUCAAUGCUCUUUCAUCCAGAAAUGUUCUCCUUGAACUGAAGGCCUCUGACUUCUUUUGUGCUGGAAUAUUCCUCAUCAUAUCUCCUCCUUCUCUUGUGAUGAUCCACCAGACUGAAGCUGGGAUAUGUAUUUUCUGUGCUGCACCGUAAUUCUGUAAAAGGCAGGCUGUUUGUUUGGUUACAGAGGUUUUACCAAAUCCAAAUGCCAUGAAGUUGAAUAAUUUUUGGCCCG